UACAGAGGGUGCGAGCGUUAUUCGGAUUUACUGGGCGUAAAGCGCGCGUAGGAGGUUUGUUAAGUUGGAUGUGAAAGCUCCGGGCUCAGCCCGGGAACUGCAUCCAAAACUGGCAAGCUAGAGUACGGUAGAGGGUGGUGGAAUUUCCUGUGUAGCGGUGAAAUGCGUAGAUAUAGGAAGGAACACCAGUGGCGAAGGCGACCACCUGGACUGAUACUGACACUGAGGUGCGAAAGCGUGGGAGCAAACAGG
Molecule: unclassified non-coding RNA, 252 nt
Filed under: uncultured Pseudomonadaceae bacterium
Lineage: Bacteria; Pseudomonadati; Pseudomonadota; Gammaproteobacteria; Pseudomonadales; Pseudomonadaceae
Description: contains 16S-23S intergenic spacer region
Rfam family: Bacterial small subunit ribosomal RNA
Source: RNAcentral